AGAGUUUGAUCAUGGCUCAGAUUGAACGCUGGCGGCAGGCCUAACACAUGCAAGUCGAGCGGUAGCACAGAGAGCUUGCUCUCGGGUGACGAGCGGCGGACGGGUGAGUAAUGUCUGGGAAACUGCCUGAUGGAGGGGGAUAACUACUGGAAACGGUAGCUAAUACCGCAUAAUGUCGCAAGACCAAAGUGGGGGACCUUCGGGCCUCAUGCCAUCAGAUGUGCCCAGAUGGGAUUAGCUAGUAGGUGGGGUAACGGCUCACCUAGGCGACGAUCCCUAGCUGGUCUGAGAGGAUGACCAGCCACACUGGAACUGAGACACGGUCCAGACUCCUACGGGAGGCAGCAGUGGGGAAUAUUGCACAAUGGGCGCAAGCCUGAUGCAGCCAUGCCGCGUGUGUGAAGAAGGCCUUCGGGUUGUAAAGCACUUUCAGCGGGGAGGAAGGCGAUAAGGUUAAUAACCUCAUCGAUUGACGUUACCCGCAGAAGAAGCACCGGCUAACUCCGUGCCAGCAGCCGCGGUAAUACGGAGGGUGCAAGCGUUAAUCGGAAUUACUGGGCGUAAAGCGCACGCAGGCGGUCUGUCAAGUCGGAUGUGAAAUCCCCGGGCUCAACCUGGGAACUGCAUUCGAAACUGGCAGGCUAGAGUCUUGUAGAGGGGGGUAGAAUUCCAGGUGUAGCGGUGAAAUGCGUAGAGAUCUGGAGGAAUACCGGUGGCGAAGGCGGCCCCCUGGACAAAGACUGACGCUCAGGUGCGAAAGCGUGGGGAGCAAACAGGAUUAGAUACCCUGGUAGUCCACGCCGUAAACGAUGUCGAUUUGGAGGUUGUGCCCUUGAGGCGUGGCUUCCGGAGCUAACGCGUUAAAUCGACCGCCUGGGGAGUACGGCCGCAAGGUUAAAACUCAAAUGAAUUGACGGGGGCCCGCACAAGCGGUGGAGCAUGUGGUUUAAUUCGAUGCAACGCGAAGAACCUUACCUGGUCUUGACAUCCACAGAACUUUCCAGAGAUGGAUUGGUGCCUUCGGGAACUGUGAGACAGGUGCUGCAUGGCUGUCGUCAGCUCGUGUUGUGAAAUGUUGGGUUAAGUCCCGCAACGAGCGCAACCCUUAUCCUUUGUUGCCAGCGGUUAGGCCGGGAACUCAAAGGAGACUGCCAGUGAUAAACUGGAGGAAGGUGGGGAUGACGUCAAGUCAUCAUGGCCCUUACGACCAGGGCUACACACGUGCUACAAUGGCAUAUACAAAGAGAAGCGACCUCGCGAGAGCAAGCGGACCUCAUAAAGUAUGUCGUAGUCCGGAUUGGAGUCUGCAACUCGACUCCAUGAAGUCGGAAUCGCUAGUAAUCGUAGAUCAGAAUGCUACGGUGAAUACGUUCCCGGGCCUUGUACACACCGCCCGUCACACCAUGGGAGUGGGUUGCAAAAGAAGUAGGUAGCUUAACCUUCGGGAGGGCGCUUACCACUUUGUGAUUCAUGACUGGGGUGAAGUCGUAACAAGGUAACCGUAGGGGAACCUGCGGUUG
Molecule: ribosomal RNA, 1520 nt
Filed under: Klebsiella pneumoniae
Lineage: Bacteria; Pseudomonadati; Pseudomonadota; Gammaproteobacteria; Enterobacterales; Enterobacteriaceae
Description: bacterial SSU rRNA
Rfam family: Bacterial small subunit ribosomal RNA
Source: RNAcentral